GACGAACGCUGGCGGCGUGCUUAACACAUGCAAGUCGAACGGAAAGGCCCUGCUUUUGUGGGGUGCUCGAGUGGCGAACGGGUGAGUAACACGUGAGUAACCUGCCCUUGACUUUGGGAUAACUUCAGGAAACUGGGGCUAAUACCGGAUAGGAGCUCCUGCUGCAUGGUGGGGGUUGGAAAGUUUCGGCGGUUGGGGAUGGACUCGCGGCUUAUCAGCUUGUUGGUGGGGUAGUGGCUUACCAAGGCUUUGACGGGUAGCCGGCCUGAGAGGGUGACCGGCCCCAUGGGGACUGGGAUACGGCCCAGACCCCCACGGGGGGCAGCAGGGGGGAAUUUUGCAAAAGGGGGGGAAGCCGGAGGCAGCAACGCCGCGGGGGGGAUGAGGGCCUUUGGGUUGAAAACCGCUUUCGCCUGUGACGAAGCGUGAGUGACGGUAAUGGGAAAAGAAGCACCGGCUAACUACGU
RNAcentral lists this ribosomal RNA (467 nucleotides) under uncultured bacterium. RNAcentral's name for it is "partial 16S ribosomal RNA". It matches the Rfam family "Bacterial small subunit ribosomal RNA", at positions 28 to 506 of the family's 1533-position model. The record is from RNAcentral.